GGCAUUUCCUGAUCAAGUGUUAGAGAUUGUAGAUCCAAUUCUUCUACAAGAAGAUGAAGCUAGAGCAAAUGAUGAGCAAGGUUCAACCCAAUCAGCAAGAAUUGAUAACAGAAGUGAAAGUCUAAUUUCCAUGAUCAAGACUGGAAUAGCAUGCUCCAUGGAAGCUCCUCAAGAUAGAAUGGGCAUAAGUGAUGCACUCAAC
Molecule: unclassified non-coding RNA, 202 nt
Filed under: Hevea brasiliensis (rubber tree)
Lineage: Eukaryota; Viridiplantae; Streptophyta; Magnoliopsida; Malpighiales; Euphorbiaceae
Source: RNAcentral